AGCGAACGCUGGCGGCAGGCUUAACACAUGCAAGUCGAGCGGAUGUAGCAAUACAUCAGCGGCAGACGGGAGAGUAACACGUGGGAACGCGCCCUUCGGUUCGGAAUAACUCAGGGAAACUUGAGCUAAUACCGGAUACGCCCUAACGGGGAAAGAUUUAUCGCCGAAGGGACGGCCCGCGUCCGAUUAGCUAGUUGGUGAGGUAAUGGCUUACCAAGGCGACGAUCGGUAGCUGGUCUGAGAGGAUGGCCAGCCUCACUGGGACUGAGACACGGCCCAGGCUCCUACGGGAGGCAGCAGUGGGGAAUAUUGGACAAUGGGCGCAAGCCUGAUCCAGCCAUGCCGCGUGGAUGAUGAAGGCCUUAGGGUUGUAAAGUCCUUUUAACGGGGAAGAUAAUGACGGUACCCGUAGAAUAAGCCCCGGCUAACUUCGUGCCAGCCGCCGCCGUAA
This 451-nucleotide ribosomal RNA is filed under the name uncultured bacterium. RNAcentral describes it as "partial 16S ribosomal RNA". It matches the Rfam family "Bacterial small subunit ribosomal RNA", at positions 29 to 523 of the family's 1533-position model. The record is from RNAcentral.